UCACAGAAGAUCGCCAUAACAUGACGUCUGCAGGGAUGGGCGUGACCAGAGAUUCAUUGCCAAUCAAGGGUCCAACUUCGACAGUGGGAGCCAGCAGUGGGUCGCAUGCACAAGCGGGCGUGGCGGAAGUCUUGUCCCGGUGGAGGGUCCAGAUCCGACAGCAACCCCCACCCUCCCGUCAUCCCCCCGUCCCCAAUUUUGUGACCUUG
This is a long non-coding RNA of Hippocampus comes (tiger tail seahorse), 209 nucleotides long. RefSeq lists it as uncharacterized. The record is from RefSeq and is a predicted model, not a curated record. The transcript has 3 exons. Lineage: Eukaryota; Metazoa; Chordata; Actinopteri; Syngnathiformes; Syngnathidae.